Molecule: ribosomal RNA, 498 nt
Filed under: uncultured bacterium
Lineage: Bacteria
Description: partial 16S ribosomal RNA
Rfam family: Bacterial small subunit ribosomal RNA
Source: RNAcentral
AUUGAACGCUGGCGGCAUGCCUUACACAUGCAAGUCGAACGGUAACAGGUCUUCGGAUGCCGACGAGUGGCGAACGGGUGAGUAAUACAUCGGAACGUGCCUAGUAGUGGGGGAUAACUACUCGAAAGAGUGGCUAAUACCGCAUGAGAUCUACGGAUGAAAGCAGGGGAUCACAAGACCUUGUGCUACUAGAGCGGCCGAUGGCAGAUUAGGUAGUUGGUGGGAUAAAAGCUUACCAAGCCGACGAUCAGUAGCUGGUCUGAGAGGACGAUCAGCCACACUGGGACUGAGAAACGGCCCAGACUCCUACGGGAGGCAGCAGUGGGGAAUUUUGGACAAUGGGCGCAAGCCUGAUUCAGCAAUGCCGCGUGCAGGAUGAAGGCCUUCGGGUUGUAAACUGCUUUUGUACGGAACGAAAAGCCCCGGGUUAAUACCCUGGGGUCAUGACGGUACCGUAAGAAUAAGCACCGGCUAACUACGUGCCAGCUGCCGCCGUAA